Molecule: ribosomal RNA, 445 nt
Filed under: uncultured bacterium
Lineage: Bacteria
Description: partial 16S ribosomal RNA
Rfam family: Bacterial small subunit ribosomal RNA
Source: RNAcentral
GUGAGGAAUAUUGGUCAAUGGACGGAAGUCUGAACCAGCCAUGCCGCGUGAAGGAUGAAGGCGUUCUGCGUUGUAAACUUCUUUUAUUUAGGAAGAAACCACCGAUUUCUAUUGGUGUUGACGGUAUUAAAUGAAUAAGCACCGGCUAACUCCGUGCCAGCAGCCGCGGUAAUACGGAGGGUGCGAGCGUUAUCCGGAUUUACUGGGUUUAAAGGGUGCGCAGGCGGUCUUAUAAGUCCGGGGUGAAAUACUACAGCUCAACUGUAGAACUGCCUUGGAUACUAUAGGACUUGAAUCGAGUAUAGGUCAGCGGAAUACAACAUGUAGCGGUGAAAUGCAUAGAUAUGUUGUGGAACACCGAUUGCGAAGGCAGCUGACUGGGCUUGAAUUGACGCUCAGGCACGAAAGCGUGGGUAGCGAACAGGAUUAGAUACCCCAGUAGUCC